Non-coding RNA from Paramuricea clavata, 314 nucleotides. Lineage: Eukaryota; Metazoa; Cnidaria; Anthozoa; Malacalcyonacea; Plexauridae. The record is from the annotation of a GenBank genome assembly.
CGUGGUCCAAUAACCACGCCACAUGAUGGUCUAUCGUUAAAAACAACGUUAUCCUAUAUGGCAAGGUGGAUGCGCUGAAAAUAUUAAUUGUCAUUGGUCAGAUUUUUGCUGCAACUAAACUCAUUAUUUGGCGAAUUUGACAGUGUAUAUUUAGUGGUUUUUUUGCUUUGGAACUAAGCUAUAAUCUGCAACAAUUCAUGGGUGCAUAGCGUCGCGUUUUGCGGCAAACCUGACUGCAAAAAUGAGCGCAUUUUGGACGUCCGUUUUGAAGAACAGCUUUAUAACAUAACUCCAGUUACAUUUAUAGUUCAUAG